AAGGUUUCCGUAGGUGAACCUGCGGAAGGAUCAUUAGUGAACAAACCGGUGUGGUUGUUGCUGGCCUUUUCGGAGGCAUGUGCACGCCCACCAUUGUUUCAUCCUUCUCCACCUGUGCACCCCCUGUAGGCCAGCCAGUCAAACCCUUCGAGUCAUUUCAUGGCUCGGUGUGAGGGCGGUUCACCCCGCUCUUGGACUGGUUAUGGUCCUACGUUUUCUCAUCAAUGCUUCAUGAAUGUAUAGAAUGUAUGUAAUGGGCUUAUGGCCUAUAAAACCUAAUACAACUUUCAACAACGGAUCUCUUGGCUCUCGCAUCGAUGAAGAACGCAGCGAAAUGCGAUAAGUAAUGUGAAUUGCAGAAUUCAGUGAAUCAUCGAAUCUUUGAACGCACCUUGCGCUCCUUGGCAUUCCGAGGAGCAUGCCUGUUUGAGUGUCAUUAAAUCAUCAACCCCAUCUACCUUGCAGUCGGUGGGUGUUGGACUUGGAGGCUUCUGCUGGUCCACUGUUGACCAGCUCCUCUUAAAUGCAUUAGCAGGGCCCAUCGUGUGCAAUCUGCGUCCUGGUGUGAUAGUAAAUCUACACCUGGCACCGCUGCACGUCGACCUGCUGCUAGUCGUCCACCUUGUGGACAACGCAUCUGACCAUUUGACCUCAAAUCAGGUAGGACUACCCGCUGAACUUAAGCAUAUC
RNAcentral lists this ribosomal RNA (690 nucleotides) under Pluteus umbrosus. Its description in RNAcentral is "eukaryotic LSU rRNA". The stretch from base 283 to 436 matches the Rfam family "5.8S ribosomal RNA". The record is from RNAcentral. Lineage: Eukaryota; Fungi; Basidiomycota; Agaricomycetes; Agaricales; Pluteaceae.